This 1099-nucleotide long non-coding RNA is filed under the name Oreochromis niloticus (Nile tilapia). Its description in RNAcentral is "lncRNA (ENSONIG00000030184.1)". The record is from RNAcentral. Lineage: Eukaryota; Metazoa; Chordata; Actinopteri; Cichliformes; Cichlidae.
GCUAGCUUAGCAUUAGCAUGCUGUCUCUGCAGGUGCAGAGUUGUCUUAGCAAUAUAAUGCAGUUGUUUCUGUCCUGGAGCAGUCUCCACUUUACCAUCAGGGUCUCAUCCUUCUGUGCAAUAAAAAUAAAAGCAAUGUCCAUAUGCUGUAAACUGUGCCACUAUUUUCCUCCUCCAACACACAAACUGAAAUCAGUUAAUCUUAGUAAGACUGCAAGAACUGAUAAGUGGGAUCGAAAAGCACACAGACUAACGAUUGCAAGGAAUUCGACUACUGGGAACGGGUUCUUUACAAGAACCCAUUUCCCAUUCCAAAUUCCCAUCUCCAAUGUGGAAAGGUCAGGGGUGGACAUUAGGGGUGGACAUUACACACCAGUAUGUCCACAGGGAAAAAAAUCUCUCUCUUGCAGUCUCCUUCACUUAUUUUCGUGUUUUGCUUUUCCUCACUUCUAGUAUGCAGUAACCACUGAUCCACCUCAGUUAUAUGCUCUUUCGCUAGCUAGCUAACAUAAACUAGCCAUCCAUUUUCUUGGAGUUGCCCCAGGUGGAGCACCCUCAAGCACCCCCUCCUACCCACCUCUCACCAAGGGCAGCUUCAGACUGUGAGUCCAGCCACUCUUCAGGAGACUGGUGCCAGAGUCCAAGCCAUGUGUUGAGGUGAGCCCGACUGCAUCUAGUGGGUACCUCUCAACCUCACACACUUGCUCACGCUCCUUUCCCACCAGAGAAGGGACAUUCCAUCCCCCAGUCGCUAUUCUUGAUAGCCGGGGAUCAGUCGCCCAGGGUCUCUGCUCUUGGCUGCCGCCCGCCACACUAACGUAAACUAAGCAUAAACUUUGUACCAGAGGUGUUAAACAUGCUCUAAAAAGGUUAACUUUAAACACUUUUUACUUGAAUCCCGCUACACAGUGUUAAAUUGAUGCCAGUUUUUACCCCUUAACUGUUAAAGUCUGAUGGGGUAUUGUUGUCACCCCCAGGGUGGCAUACAUACCCAAGUCUGUGAAUGCGAUAACUCAAGAAUGAGGCGUAGUAGGAAUAUGAAAUUAAUAUUAUAGGUGCAUCUACUGAAAAUCUCUGACAAGUUUGAAUCUCGGUGACCA